RNAcentral lists this long non-coding RNA (255 nucleotides) under Arabidopsis thaliana (thale cress). Its description in RNAcentral is "long non-coding RNA (ATHA_LNC000256)". Lineage: Eukaryota; Viridiplantae; Streptophyta; Magnoliopsida; Brassicales; Brassicaceae. The record is from RNAcentral.
AACAGCCAUCGCCUUCCACUUCUCUGCAUUCUCUCUCAUCUCCUCCGCCUCUUCUCCACCACUCAUCACCUUCUCCAAACACCUUCUAAUCUCCUCCCCAUCCACAUCUCCUUCCUCCCCAACCUUCACCUUCACUCCAAUCCUCCACGUAUCCUCCACAAGCUUCGCCGUUGUACACUGAUCAGCAAACUGCGGAAACGCAACCACCGGAACACCACUCUCUAAACUCUCCAACGUCGAAUUCCAACCACAAUG